GAAAUGACUGCUAAUACCGCAUAUGCCAUAAUAAUCACAUGAUUAAAGUGGGAAAGGAGCAAUCCGCUUAUAGAUGGGCUUACGCCUGAUUAGCUAGUUGGUGAGGUAACGGCCUACCAAGGCGACGAUCAGGAGCCGAACUGAGAGGUUAAACGGCCACAUUGGGACUGAGAUACGGCCCAGACUCCUACGGGAGGCAGCAGUCGGGAAUAUUGCGCAAUGGAGGAAACUCUGACGCAGUGACGCCGCGUGCAGGAAGAAGGUUUUCGGAUUGUAAACUGCUUUAGACAGGGAAGAUAAAAGACAGUACCUGUAGAAUAAGCUCCGGCUAACUACGUGCCAGCAGCCGCGGUAAUACGUAGGGAGCAAGCGUUAUCCGGAUUUAUUGGGUGUAAAGGGUGCGUAGACGGGAAAUUAAGUUAGUUGUGAAAUCCCAUGGCUCAACUGUGGAACUGCAACUAAAACUGAUUUUCUUGAGUACUGGAGAGGAAAGUGGAAUUCCUAGUGUAGCGGUGAAAUGCGUAGAUAUUAGGAGGAACACCAGUGGCGAAGGCGACUUUCUGGACAGAAACUGACGUUGAGGCACGAAAGUGUGGGGAGCAAACAGGAUUAGAUACCCUGGUAGUCCACACCGUAAACCAUGAAUGGUAGGUGUAGGGUGUGAUGAACAUUCUGUGCC
Molecule: ribosomal RNA, 679 nt
Filed under: uncultured bacterium
Lineage: Bacteria
Description: bacterial SSU rRNA
Rfam family: Bacterial small subunit ribosomal RNA
Source: RNAcentral